RNAcentral lists this ribosomal RNA (276 nucleotides) under Kocuria rosea. RNAcentral describes it as "partial 16S ribosomal RNA". It matches the Rfam family "Bacterial small subunit ribosomal RNA", at positions 1219 to 1490 of the family's 1533-position model. The record is from RNAcentral. Lineage: Bacteria; Bacillati; Actinomycetota; Actinomycetes; Micrococcales; Micrococcaceae.
CGCAUGCUACAAUGGACGGUACAAAGGGUUGCGAUACUGUGAGGUGGAGCUAAUCCCAAAAAGCCGGUCUCAGUUCGGAUUGAGGUCUGCAACUCGACCUCAUGAAGUCGGAGUCGCUAGUAAUCGCAGAUCAGCAACGCUGCGGUGAAUACUUUCCCGGGCCUUGUACACACCGCCCGUCAAGUCACAAAAGUUGGUAACACCCAAAGCCGGUGGCCUAACCCCUUGUGGGAGGGAGCCGUCGAAGGUGGGACUGGCGAUUGGGACUAAGUCGUA